ACCAUUUUCCAGUCAUGUUGAGAAGAAGUCUUCGUUUGGAGGAUGCAGGCUAUUACACAGAGGAGGGGACUCCAAUCAUUUCCUACAGGGAGGCCUGUUACAGGGUCUUUCAGAGGAGGAAAGGUCACCGUAGUCAUCACCACGAGUCAGUAGGCCACGAUGAAAACACCAGUAACACCAGUGAGACACAAAAUCUGAAUAUUGAGACCAGAGUCCCCACUCAGGCCAAUCACACUCGGACCCCUGCAGUACAGAUCAUCAUCAGCUGUCUCUGCGUCCUGCUCCUUCUGGUCGUUGGACUCACAGAUAUGCAACUAAAGGACAUACAUAUGCAACUAAAAGAGGUCCAGCAGGACGUAGAGAUUCUGAGGCAACAUGUGAUCAUGUCUGUUCCUCCGGCAUCGAACUUUGCAUUAGAAUCGCAAGGCGAGUCAUGUUCAUCUGUCUCAUCAGGAUUUAUACACGCGCUUUAUGGUGGAACUUGUUUAGAGCUUGAUUCCUAACUUUGUAUGUGUGUCUUUGAUUUGUGUGAAUGCAGGUGCCAGAAUUUCAAAAGAUUUAUCUUCGGACACAUAUUGGCCUCCAGGACUCGGAACAAUAUGGGAUGAAAUACACAAAUGGUUGUAUUCAUCCAAAGCGCAGCAAAGAGUUAUCCAGGGACAUUUAUCAUUAAUUCCUGGAAAAUGCUGGCCCUUUUCAGGUGACCGAGGGCAUUUAGUCAUCGCCCUGUCACACCCAGUUUCCAUCACUAGUGUGACACUCGGCCACAUAAUGAAGAAACAGUCCCCAUAUGAAUCCAUCUCCAGUGCACCGAGGGAAUUUUCAAUCUAUGGAAUGAGGACUACUGACGAGGAAGGAACCUAUUUGGGAACACUGGUUUAUGAUGAAGACGGCGCAGCAUUUCAGACCUUUAAACUGCCUAAUCCAGACAAAGGAAUCUUCCAAUAUGUGAAGCUACAGAUUGACAGCAACUGGGGAAACAUAGACUACACCUGCCUGUACAGCUUUAUGGUUCACAAUACUUUAAGUUGAAGGUAAAUUAACCGCAAAACACCUGAAGCUGCGACUCGCUGCGACUCACUGCGACGUGCGACUCGCUGCGACGUGUGAGGAGGGCCCAAAAAGAUGCUAGAAUGAAUAGAUGUGGAUGCGGGGAGGGGCCCAUAGAAAAUGCCUUUCUACAGGGCCCAUAUUUUUAUGCUACGCCACUGGCAGCACCGGAGCAAUCUCGGAAGUGGAACGUCAAGGAUAUAGACUAGCUGUUAGUUAGCCAUUUGAGCAUGUAGCUUGCGAAGAGUGUCACUGCGACUCAUCAAAAUCUGACGAAAAUCUUUUAAACUGACCUUUGUUGAUCUGAAAUGAAGACAGAUUCAGCAACUGC
Molecule: long non-coding RNA, 1381 nt
Organism: Sander lucioperca (pikeperch)
Lineage: Eukaryota; Metazoa; Chordata; Actinopteri; Perciformes; Percidae
Exons: 6
Source: RefSeq, a predicted model, not a curated record